Molecule: ribosomal RNA, 422 nt
Filed under: uncultured bacterium
Lineage: Bacteria
Description: bacterial SSU rRNA
Rfam family: Bacterial small subunit ribosomal RNA
Source: RNAcentral
UGAGGAAUAUUGGUCAAUGGGCGCGAGCCUGAACCAGCCAAGUAGCGUGAAGGAUGAAGGUCCUAUGGAUUGUAAACUUCUUUUAUAGCAGAAUAAAGUGACCCACGUGUGGGUUUUUGUAUGUAUGCUAUGAAUAAGGAUCGGCUAACUCCGUGCCAGCAGCCGCGGUAAUACGGAGGAUCCGAGCGUUAUCCGGAUUUAUUGGGUUUAAAGGGUGCGUAGGCGGAAAGAUAAGUCAGCCUGUGAAAGUUUGCGGCUCAACCGUAAAAUUGCAGUUGAUACUGUUUUUCUUGAGUGUACAUAAGGUAGGCGGAAUUCUUGGUGUAGCGGUGAAAUGCUUAGAUAUCACGAAGAACUCCGAUUGCGAAGGCAGCUUACCGGGGUACAACUGACGCUGAUGCACGAAAGUGUGGGUAUCAAAC